UUUCAAAGUCGCUUUCAGGCACUAGUACACUUUACCCCAGUCAUCACCUAAGUAUGCAUGUAACUAACUACAGGUCAAUUCCAAGUUAUUCUCACUUUUCCAGAAAAAGAAGGUGCUAUUCUAUUUUUUCUUUUUUCUUCAUAGGUGAAUUUAACCUCUUCUAGAAUUUGGCUUUGUUUUACUCAGUAAAAUGUUCUUGGGAUGCAUCAAUGUUGCUGUGUUUAUAAGCAAUUUGUUCUUUUUUUGUUACUGUCAUUUCAUUGAAUUUAGUAUAUCACAGCUUGUUUAAUCAUUCUCUUGGAUUGAUGCUAUGUUUUGGCUGUUAUGAAUAAAGCUACUAUGAGUAGUGUUGCA
Molecule: long non-coding RNA, 354 nt
Filed under: Pan troglodytes (chimpanzee)
Lineage: Eukaryota; Metazoa; Chordata; Mammalia; Primates; Hominidae
Description: long non-coding RNA NONPTRT014648
Source: RNAcentral